This 3077-nucleotide long non-coding RNA is filed under the name Takifugu rubripes (torafugu). Its description in RNAcentral is "lncRNA (ENSTRUG00000032858.1)". The record is from RNAcentral. Lineage: Eukaryota; Metazoa; Chordata; Actinopteri; Tetraodontiformes; Tetraodontidae.
UGCCUGCCCCACAGAAGGGUUCAACACAGUGGUUUGCUCUGACUGUAACAGAACGUGUCGCUCACCCUCUUGUUUCACCAGACACAAAUUGGUCGGUUCAAGCAGAAAGUCCAGCCUCUGCGACCAAAUCAAAAAAAUGCGCACGAUGCGAACUAUACUACAGUGUCAAUUUGUCGUUAGACGAUGCAAAGCAUCGCUGUGCGGUGAAAAAAUGUAAAAUCUGUGGUGAAAAACUGCAGAGCGACUCUAAAGUCGAUCAUAGUUGUUACAUUCCUACCCUCCAACCAGACAUCUCACAUCCUGAUUUGGUUUUUUAUGAUUUUGAAACAUUUGUGGGUCAAAAUGGAGAGCAUGUUCCUUUUUUAGUGCAUACAAAAACAUCCAAAGGUGAAGAGAAGGCGUUUUAUGGUCUUGACUGUGCUAAAAUGUUUAUUUUGCAUUUCAGGAAGCCACGAUACAAACAGAACAUCUUUAUAGCCCAUAAUGCCAAGGGGUUUGACAGUUAUCUGGUGUUAAAAGGUAUGUUGGAACUGGAUGUGACGCCACAACAGAUUCUGAUGAACGGGAGUAAAAUCCUCAGUUUUGAGGAAUCCCAUUAUGGUCUCAAAUUCAUAGAUUCCCUGUCAUUUCUCCCCAUGCGUCUCAGCGCUAUGCCCAAAGCCUUAGGAUUCACUGACAAGACCAAGGGGUAUUUCCCACACAAAUUUAGCUCAGAAAUUCACCUCAAUUACGUGGGGCCCUAUCCCGUUCCGUCCGACUACGACGUAGAUCGCAUGACGGUGCGCGAACGGGAAGAAUUUGACCCGUGGUACAACGAGGUCAGCCGCGGUACCUUUGACUUCAAAAAGGAGGCCUCGCUGUACUGCAAAAAUGAUGUUGACAUUCUCACCCAGGGCAGUCUUAAAUUUAGAGAUCAGUUCCUAGGUGAGACGGGGGUAGACCCUUUUGGUUCUAUCGCCAUAGCCGGAGCCUGUAUGAAGGUGUUUCGCACCAAUUAUCUGACUCCUAACACUCUGGCUAUCCCCUGCCCGCACAACUAUUUGAAUCAGAGCAAAAGAUUCUCUAGCGCAUCGGUUCAAUGGUUAGAAUGGUUGAUGCACAAAGAAAAAAUCUUUAUACAGCAUGCUCUAAACAUGGGUGAAAAACAGAUUGGUGCAUUUUUCGUAGACGGAUAUGCUGAGAUUGACGGUGUAAAACAUGUCUGGGAAUUUCAUGGAUGUUUUUACCACGGCUGUCCCAGUUGCUUUGAUCCCACAGUACAGUGCGAUAUGAGAGGCGUCACCUUUGGUGAACUGCACUACAAAAGUGAGAAGAGGGUGAGUGAGCUACAGACCACACAUGGGGUUCGUGUUGUAGUCAUGAGAGAACACACGUGGACCCAGAUGAAAACAACAUGCACGGAGGUUAAAGAAUUUCUCCGUUGCUUUAACGCUCCUGAGCCUCUCAACCCCCGAAAAGCACUUUUCGGAGGUAGAACGAGCGCUUUAAAACUGCGACACACGGCAGCGCUCGAUGAAACCAUCCACUAUGUUGAUGUCACCUCACUGUACCCGUUUGUCAACAGUACUUGCUCUUACCCCUUUGGUCACCCCGUGAUCAUCUACAAAGAUUUCGAGGACCCACGCAGCUACUACGGCUUCAUCAGAGCCACUGUGUAUCCUCCUCGAGGUCUUUUAUUCCCCGUGUUACCGCACAAAAGUGAGGGAGGUAAAUUACUCUUUACACUGUGUCGCACCUGUGCCGAAACUAACAAUGAGGGUGGCCCCUGCGAACACGACGAUGAGGGCAGAGCUCUGACGGGGGUCUGGGUCACCGUUGAAUUCAUCAAAGCUCUGGAUGUGGGGUACAGGGUGGGUAAAAUUACAGAAGUCUGGCACUUUGACAAGAGCAGCGACACUGUGUUUACCGACUACAUACACACCUUUUUGAAAGGAAAGCAGGAAGCCUCGGGUUACCCCGCUGAGGCGACGGACCGAGAGAGCAGGGAAAAAUACAUCAGGGACUAUCAGGAGCAUCAGGGCAUUCUUUUAGAUGCUGGCAAAAUCGAGACCAAUCCUGUGAAAAGACAGGUUGCUAAAUUGUGUCUCAACAGUUUGUGGGGAAAGUUUGCACAGAGAGAUAAUUUGUUUAAAACCACCAUUGUCUCAGAUCCUAAAGAAUUCUUUAGUUACAUGUUUUCAGGUAAAUACAAAGUCGAAUACUUUUCCGUUCUCCACAGCAACAGAGCUCUCAUCAGGUGGAAAUACACCGACAGGUACGUUCAACCCCCAGGUAAACAGAGUAAUGUUUUUAUUGCAGCAUUCACCACAGCACACGCACGACUGAAGCUGUACAGUUAUCUGGAAAAACUACAAGACAGAGUGUUUUACAUUGACACAGAUAGUUUAAUCUAUCUGGUCAAAGAGGGUGAGAAACCUCUAGAGCUGGGUAACUAUUUAGGUGACCUGACGGAUGAACUGGAUGGUGACAGCAUUCAAGAGUUUGCAGCGGCGGGUCCCAAGAGUUACGCGUACCAAACACGAAAUAAAAAGAAAGUCGUCAUGCGUGUGAAAGGUAUCACUCAGACCCGGGAAUGUUGUGAGCGUGUGAGCUUUGACAGUGUCAGAGAGCUGGUGGAGGGUUACCUGAGUAAUAAACAAGAGGGAAACACGAUCGAGAUCCGUCAACACAGCAUCAGACGUGAUAAAAAGGGUUUCGCAUUGAGAAAUGUGUCAUUUGAUAAAAAAUUUAGGGUGGUGUAUGACAAAAGACGACUCUUUGCUGACGGAACAACUCUGCCUUUCGGGUAUUAGAAAUGCAGGAAAUUGAAUUUGAUCCUAGGUUUAUCUUUCCUUUUUCUUGUUUAAUCGCGGGUCCGAGCGGGUGUGGAAAGACCUAUUUUGUAAAAAAUGUAUUGGAAAACUGUGACCGUGUAAUAAAUGUUGUACCUGACAAUAUCGUGUGGAUUUAUACCUCUUUUCAACCUAUGUACGCUGAACUGCAAAAGAUGAUUAAAAACAUUAAAUUUGUCAAAGGUCUGCCUGAUUCUUUUGAAGAUGAAACACUGUUUCCUCCUGAUCAAAAGCAUUUGAUUAUUU